UGGGGAAUAUUGCACAAUGGGCGCAAGCCUGAUGCAGCCAUGCCGCGUGUAUGAAGAAGGCCUUCGGGUUGUAAAGUACUUUCAGCGGGGAGGAAGGGAGUAAAGUUAAUACCUUUGCUCAUUGACGUUACCCCCAGAAGAAGCACCGGCUAACUCCGUGCCAGCAGCCGCGGUAAUACGGAGGGUGCAAGCGUUAAUCGGAAUUACUGGGCGUAAAGCGCACGCAGGCGGUUUGUUAAGUCAGAUGUGAAAUCCCCGGGCUCAACCUGGGAACUGCAUCUGAUACUGGCAAGCUUGAGUCUCGUAGAGGGGGGUAGAAUUCCAGGUGUAGCGGUGAAAUGCGUAGAGAUCUGGAGGAAUACCGGUGGCGAAGGCGGCCCCCUGGACGAAGACUGACGCUCAGGUGCGAAAGCGUGGGGAGCAAACAGG
RNAcentral lists this ribosomal RNA (429 nucleotides) under Fusobacteriota bacterium. RNAcentral's name for it is "Fusobacteria bacterium partial 16S ribosomal RNA". It matches the Rfam family "Bacterial small subunit ribosomal RNA", at positions 355 to 776 of the family's 1533-position model. The record is from RNAcentral. Lineage: Bacteria; Fusobacteriati; Fusobacteriota.